Molecule: non-coding RNA, 26 nt
Filed under: Rattus norvegicus (Norway rat)
Lineage: Eukaryota; Metazoa; Chordata; Mammalia; Rodentia; Muridae
Source: RNAcentral
UGCAGGCCCUGAGCAUCCUGCUGGCU